UAAUAAUUAACUUUUAUACUAAAUAUAAUUUCCUGUAUCAAGCCAUUAUGAAAUGACAGUCUUUUUCUUCCUUCCUUCCAGGUUUGAUAAUAGAACUUCAGUCAGAGGCAGCUUUAAACAUCUACUCACAUAAGUAUUCAAUUAAAUGGAUGCUGUGACACAAGUUACAUGGUACUAUAAGACAACUAGAUUUUAUGUAGGUCAGAAUUGAUAAGAAUCUUGGAUUACCAAAUCAAUAUCUGUUGUAGAUUUUACCUUCUAGGAUCAGUAAUGGAAUACAUUGGCUUCCCAGAGUUUCCAAUGAAGGUUGUAACCAGCUGUUCUGGUUAAUUAUGUCCUUUUUAUGUCUAAGAGAGAUAGGAUGCUAAAGCUUUAACCUCAAAUUAAUUUUUGCACCUUUCCAAUCACACCAGGACAAAAGGUUGAAUUUUAUGCAAAUUUAGUGCAUCGGUAUACUAGAUCAAACAUAUUUUCAUAUCGUUUGAAAUGCAGAUUUGCCGGACUUUUACUUUACAGCUCUCUUUUUAUAUGAGGCUUUUAACUGCACACUCUCCUUGGUUCAUUUCUCAUAUGUGCUUUUGGGUCAAUUACAACCCUGCCUCACUGCUUGCCUUGUUCUCUGGCAGCAAGAUAAACACUGAACAGAGCCUUUUAUCUUUGCAGGGCCUCUCCAGAUACAGCACUAGAAUGACUUUUCUCUCUUCAAUGUAUUAUUUAUGGGAUUUUAAGUUAUUCUUUCUUCGGUGUGAAACCAAAACUUUCUUGUGCACUGCAGCAGAUGCGGCAGGAACCUAGCCGGCAACACUUCAUCUCACCCAGAAGAGAUCCAGACUCCUUCCUUGAGUGGCCUGGGCCUGCUUCCUCCUCCCUCUCUUCUCUCCAUGAACUUCAUUACAGCAACUCGGGUUUUUCUGCUGUUCCUCAAAUAUUCCAAGUUUGAUCCUGCCUCAAGGUUUUGCACUUCCCUCUGCCUGGAACAGAAUCCUUGCCCAGAACUCUGCAGGACUUGCCUCCUUAUCUCCAUUCCAACACAACCCCUGAAGAAAGGCCUUCUCUUAUGAUUCUUUCGUUUUUUUUCAUAUCACAUGUUGCUUUUAAUGGCAUUAAAUUCACUGGGAAAAUAGUGAGUUGGGAAGCAACUCACUUUUACAGAUUAUGCUUCAGUUUCAACCGCAAGUUGGCUAUGGAUACAAGAGUUCUGCAAAACUAAAGUAUUCUCUGAGAAUCAAUUGGCUCUAUGGAAUUAACGAAAAAGAAUAUUGCUCAUUUUAUUACUAAUUAUAGAUGAGGUCCUGCAAUGCUUCAUAUCAGUAAAAUUGAUGAUGAGUACAUGUAUACGUAUACGUAUACGUAUAUGUAUAUGUAUAUGUAUAUGUAUAUGUACUCCUCCCCAGCCAGCCGCUUAACAUGGACCAUCAGCCUGACCUUUAGGGUAAGUGGUUCCUGGCUUUCCUUUAUAAUUUAGUCACUUUUCAAUUUUCCUCUUACCUAGAUGUGACCCAGGCACCUCAGAGCCUGGAGAAGUCUCUGGCACAUAGUAGAUCUUUAAAAGAUGCUGCUGGAGUGGAUAAACUCCUGAGGAUUGCUAAUUUUACAGAGCAACCAGCAGUGACAAUACAAUUCUGAAUCUUUCAAUAAAAUGGCAGAAAAAGCCAGGGAACAUUAUGUUUUCUUGUUUUUUAAUCUCUGUAAACCUCCUUAAAUCUUUUUAGAGUCAACACAGUAUAAUUUUUUUUAAAACAACAACAACGAUAAUAAGAACUACCAUCGACUGUGUGCUUGGGAAAUGCCUAAUAAAUAGCAUUUUUCGUGUAGAAUCUCAUAAGUACAAUCUCUAAGAGUAGGUGAUACAAUAAAAAACGUAAAACACUUUUGAUAUGUACAAAAGUUUGUUUUAUCUUUUAGUAAUUCAAUUAUAAUUAAAACUAUUAUAUUUAAA
This 1939-nucleotide long non-coding RNA is filed under the name Homo sapiens (human). RNAcentral's name for it is "HSALNT0137381". Lineage: Eukaryota; Metazoa; Chordata; Mammalia; Primates; Hominidae. The record is from RNAcentral.